Long non-coding RNA from Rosa chinensis, 2469 nucleotides. RefSeq lists it as uncharacterized. Lineage: Eukaryota; Viridiplantae; Streptophyta; Magnoliopsida; Rosales; Rosaceae. The record is from RefSeq and is a predicted model, not a curated record. The transcript is spliced from 4 exons.
CCCUCCUUUUUUCUGGUUUUUUUUUCGGUCUUCUUCUUCUUCGUUUCUUCCCUCUGUUUUCUUCGUUCGGUGCUGCGCGGGCUGUGCAGCAGGAAAUUGCAAAGCUGAGGGCUGCUGGGCUGCGUUGGCUGGUGGGAUGGCAGAAGCGUGUGCUGCUUGGCGCGCGGGCUGCAGGUGGUGGGUUGCUGGGCGCGCUGGCUGCAGGGCGAAGGGAGUGCGCGGCUGCUUGCGGUAGGAGGCUGGGGCGUGCGCGGCUGCAGGUAAAAGAAAGCGGCCUGGGCAGUGCGGGCUGUGCAGGGAGGCUGGCUGAAGGUUGGGCUGCAGGAGGCUGCGUUGCGGCAGGGAGGUUGCAGCGGGCUGGUGAGGAUGAGGAGGCUGGGCUGGUGUGCAGGCAGCAGCACGGGCUGCGUAGGUGUGCAGGGCGAGCUGCGGGGGGCUGAGGCAGCAGGGGUUGCAGGAGGUGUGCGGCAGAUUUUGUGAGAGAUAAACUGUUUUUUUUUUCGCCUAGGGUUAGAACUCGUGCUGAUAACGUGUUGUAGGAGAAUAGAAUUGUGUGUUAUCAUUGAUAAUAGGAGCCCUUUAAAUAGGGAGUUACAAGGUACCCAAAAGAUUGGGGUGCAAAUGUAAUUGUGAACAGAAUCUUUAAAUGUUGACUUCUGGUUUCAUUUUACCUUCAGCAUCAUCUGCUCCAUUCUCUGAUGCACUACUGGCAACUACUUGAUUAUCUAUCUUUUCAUCCAUGACGUCGUUUCUGUAUGCUUUGGGACAUAAACAAGAGUAAUCUCCCGGAGGUGAAUUUACACAUUUUCCAAUCUUGCAUGGGUUUGAAUCCAUGCAGUCAUCAAUAUCUGAAAAGAAAGGAAAGAUUAACAAGCCACAGAGUAGGUGAAAUCACAGUUUUGCUACUCCCCCUCUAGAAAUUAAUUAACAUGAUGUAUGUUGAUGCUGAGACCAUACAAGCUAUAUACUUAUAUAUUACCUUGGCAACCAUCUGGAAGGUAUGGAUUGCCUUCGUAGCCUGGUAAACAUUCACAAACAUAACCAUUCCUGUUGUUGUGGUUGACAUACUUGCUAUUUUUGUUGCAUGCGAAGUCCUCCCUCUUUUCAGCUGCAUCACAUGGGUCUGGUUCAUUCCCAAUUGCCCAGUUAAGAACCAUCGGCAGUUGCUUAGUGAUGUUCAGUUCUUGAAAACUUGUAUUAGAGAAACUAAACUGGCCUUCUUGCACAAUGAAUGCGUAGCUGCAGGGGUUGAAGCUCCAUAUAUCAGAGUGAUUAUAAUAGCUACUCAAAGUGACAGUACGGUUUGUUAUUCCACUAGGGAUGGAGGUUUGGCAACAUCCAAUGCCAGAGCAAGACCCAUCGACGCUGCCAAGGCUGUUACACAAGGACAUGCACCCGGUUAUGUAUCUUUCUUCCCCCUGGUAUCCUGUAAAGAGUGCAUAAGUGUCGCAUCCAACUGCGAUGAACUUGUUUUUGGUAUCGGAUAUGGUGUAAGGCAGAACCAGCGAUAACUCAGGGCUGUUGUGGUAGGUUCUUUCGCCUUGCUGGUCAUAACAAUCUCGGGCGGUGUAACUGUUUAUUUGCAACUCACCCUCUGCAAGCCAGAAGUUUGCGAUGCGGAUAUUAGUGCCUGUCCAGUUUGCUGAUGGGGGUUGGGUUGAUUGGUCACAAGUGAUUUGAAAUUCUUGUCGAAGGUAACAACCUUCACCUAUGCCAAAUGGGUAUGGAAUUACGAGAUCACCGCAGCAGUCAGUGCAGCCAGGCAGAGCUUGAGGCAGGAGAGCUUGAUCAGCUGCUGCUAAUACGACCAGUAGUACUCCCAUCAAUGAGAGUUGCAUAAUGAACAUCACAUGCAAGGCCAUGGCACCACUACUCGAUUCCAUCUACAAAAGUAGUAUACACUUAUAUGUAGUGUUCAAGUAAAGAAACUCGAAUGUUACUUGAACACUUUCUGAGUUCUUGGAUUUGGUACAGCAAGCUUCACAGGGUCCAAACGGGAAUUGGCUCCAUGUAAAAUAUUCAAUGAAAUAAAACAUCCCACUUGGAACUUGGUAAUAGUCCAUAAGCGACGGGGUGUACAAAGUUGAGCAGACAAGCUAGACAGUACUUAUGCCAAGCAAGGUUGCCGACUGAGAGACUCUUGAUUUUUUAAUUUGGUUCUGUUUGAGAAGAGACUUGGUCGUUUCUUUUGUGUCAUCACCUGGUAAAAAGAAAACAGAGAAAGGGUGAAAAGGAUGCCACUCAUAUUGUUUAAAACUUACAAAGGAAACAACUUUAUUUGUGAGUUUUGCUUCCAUUAUGUGUUCCUCAUUCGACUAGCAACUACUUGAUAUCUGUAAGUCCUUCACUACAUUCGGUGAUAUUCAUUAUGACAAGACUGAUAAACUAUGUUGAGUCACAUGUUGAGUCAAUCAUUUGGCUCGUCUGAAUUUGUCUAACUCUUUAACCAUUUCAUGAGCAUUUGAUCAU